CAGCACAGUAGUUUGACUUAAGUCUUCAAACGACAGUGUUUUGUUCUCUUAUACCUACCUUCUUGAAUUAUUUUUCAAGCAUUUUUUUGCAACAAACAAAACCGAGUUGACAAAAACAAAAAAAAUUAAUAUAAUUAGUCUGCACCAAUAAAAAAAAUAAAGAGUAUCAAAGUCGUCACGUCCCACUUACUAUAUUGGUAUAAGAGAUUCGUUUGACUUGGACAAUCUGAACGUUGAAUAAUUG
RNAcentral lists this long non-coding RNA (244 nucleotides) under Capsella rubella. RNAcentral describes it as "long non-coding RNA (CRUB_LNC001072)". The record is from RNAcentral. Lineage: Eukaryota; Viridiplantae; Streptophyta; Magnoliopsida; Brassicales; Brassicaceae.